Molecule: ribosomal RNA, 497 nt
Filed under: uncultured bacterium
Lineage: Bacteria
Description: partial 16S ribosomal RNA
Rfam family: Bacterial small subunit ribosomal RNA
Source: RNAcentral
GACGAACGCUGGCGGCGUGCCUAAUACAUGCAAGUUGAGCGCUGAAGGUUGGUACUUGUACCAACUGGAUGAGCAGCGAACGGGUGAGUAACGCGUGGGGAAUCUGCCUUUGAGCGGGGGACAACAUUUGGAAACGAAUGCUAAUACCGCAUAAAAACUUUAAACACAAGUUUUAAGUUUGAAAGAUGCAAUUGCAUCACUCAAAGAUGAUCCCGCGUUGUAUUAGCUAGUUGGUGAGGUAAAGGCUCACCAAGGCGAUGAUACAUAGCCGACCUGAGAGGGUGAUCGGCCACAUUGGGACUGAGACACGGACCAAACUCCUACGGGAGGCAGCAGUAGGGAAUCUUCGGCAAUGGACGAAAGUCUGACCGAGCAACGCCGCGUGAGUGAAGAAGGUUUUCGGAUCGUAAAACUCUGUUGGUAGAGAAGAACGUUGGUGAGAGUGGAAAGCUCAUCAAGUGACGGUAACUACCCAGAAAGGGACGGCUAACUACGUG